This 502-nucleotide ribosomal RNA is filed under the name uncultured bacterium. RNAcentral describes it as "partial 16S ribosomal RNA". It matches the Rfam family "Bacterial small subunit ribosomal RNA", at positions 30 to 523 of the family's 1533-position model. The record is from RNAcentral.
AUUGAACGCUGGCGGCAGGCUUAACACAUGCAAGUCGAGCGGAGUGAUGGUGCUUGCACUAUCACUUAGCGGCGGACGGGUGAGUAAUGCUUAGGAAUCUGCCUAUUAGUGGGGGACAACAUCUCGAAAGGGAUGCUAAUACCGCAUACGUCCUACGGGAGAAAGCAGGGGAUCACUUGUGACCUUGCGCUAAUAGAUGAGCCUAAGUCGGAUUAGCUAGUUGGUGGGGUAAGGCCUACCAAGGCGACGAUCUGUAGCGGGUCUGAGAGGAUGAUCCGCCACACUGGGACUGAGACACGGCCCAGACUCCUACGGGAGGCAGCAGUGGGGAAUAUUGGACAAUGGGGGGAACCCUGAUCCAGCCAUGCCGCGUGUGUGAAGAAGGCCUUAUGGUUGUAAAGCACUUUAAGCGAGGAGGAGGCUCUUUUGGUUAAUACCCAAGAUGAGUGGACGUUACUUGCAGAAUAAGCACCGGCUAACUCUGUGCCAGCCGCCGCGGUAA